Molecule: ribosomal RNA, 761 nt
Filed under: uncultured bacterium
Lineage: Bacteria
Description: bacterial SSU rRNA
Rfam family: Bacterial small subunit ribosomal RNA
Source: RNAcentral
AGAGUUUGAUCAUGGCUCAGCCUGAACGCUGGCGGCGUGGCUAAGACAUGCAAGUCGUACGGAUGUAGCAAUACAUCAGUGGCGAACGGGUGAGUAAUGAAUCGCUAAUGUGCCCCGGACUCUGGGAUAGCUGCCCGAAAGGGCAGGUAAUACCAGAUGAUAUAUCCUUAUCGCAUGAUAGGGAUCUCAAAGGUCCGCCGGUCUGGGAGCAGGCGAUUUCGUAUCAGCUAGUUGGUGAGGUAACGGCUCACCAAGGCGACGACGCGUAGCCGGACUGAGAGGUUGGCCGGCCACAUUGGGACUGAGACACUGCCCAGACUCCUACGGGGGGCUGCAGUAACGAAUCUUCCGCAAUGCACGAAAGUGUGACGGAGCGACGCCGCGUGUGGGAUGAAGUUCUUCGGAAUGUAAACCACUGUCAGGGGUUAGAAAGUUCUGAUCAACCCCAGAGGAAGGCACGGCUAACUCUGUGCCAGCAGCCGCGGUAAGACAGAGGUGCCAAGCGUUAGGCGGAAUCACUGGGCUUAAAGCGUGUGUAGGCGGAAUCGUAAGUACUUUGUGAAAUCCCACGGCUUAACCGUGGAACUGCUUGGUAUACUGCUUUUCUUGAGCCAGCUAGGGGCUACCGGAACAAAUGGUGGAGCGGUGAAAUGCGUAGAUAUCAUUUGGAACGCCAAUGGUGAAAACAGGUAGCUGGGGCUGUGCUGACGCUGAGACACGAAAGCCAGGGGAGCAAACGGGAUUAGAUACCCCCGUAGUCC